RNAcentral lists this ribosomal RNA (277 nucleotides) under Aeromonas sp. SrichE-2G. RNAcentral's name for it is "partial 23S ribosomal RNA". It matches the Rfam family "Bacterial large subunit ribosomal RNA", at positions 836 to 1111 of the family's 2925-position model. The record is from RNAcentral. Lineage: Bacteria; Pseudomonadati; Pseudomonadota; Gammaproteobacteria; Aeromonadales; Aeromonadaceae.
AACUCGGAGAUAGCUGGUUCUCCCCGAAAGCUAUUUAGGUAGCGCCUCGGACGAAUACUACUGGGGGUAGAGCACUGUUUGGGCUAGGGGGUCAUCCCGACUUACCAACCCCAUGCAAACUCCGAAUACCAGUAAGUAAUAUCCGGGAGACACACGGCGGGUGCUAACGUCCGUCGUGAAGAGGGAAACAACCCAGACCGCCGGCUAAGGUCCCAAAGUUCUGGUUAAGUGGGAAACGAUGUGGGAAGGCUCAGACAGCUAGGAUGUUGGCUUAGAA